This 253-nucleotide ribosomal RNA is filed under the name uncultured bacterium. RNAcentral's name for it is "partial 16S ribosomal RNA". It matches the Rfam family "Bacterial small subunit ribosomal RNA", at positions 524 to 776 of the family's 1533-position model. The record is from RNAcentral.
UACGAAGGGUGCAACCGUUGCUCGGAAUCAUUGGGCGUAAAGCGCGCGUAGGCGGCCUCGUAAGUCCGUUGUGAAAGUCAAAGGCUCAACCUUUGAAAGCCGAUGGAUACUGUGAGGCUAGAGUCCGGAAGAGGCGAGUGGAAUUCCUGGUGUAGCGGUGGAAUGCGCAGAUAUCGUGAGGAAGACCGGUGGCGAAGGCGGAUCUCUGGACAGUUCCUGACGCUGAGGCGCGAAGGCCAGGGGAGCAAACGGG